UACGUAGGUGGCAAGCGUUAUCCGGAUUUACUGGGUGUAAAGGGCGUGUAGGCGGGACUGCAAGUCAGAUGUGAAAUUUCGCGGCUCAACCGCGAAACUGCAUUUGAAACUGUAGUUCUUGAGUGAUGGAGAGGCAGGCGGAAUUCCGUGUGUAGCGGUAAAAUGCGUAGAUAUACGGAGGAACACCAGUGGCGAAGGCGGCCUGCUGGACAUUAACUGACGCUGAGGCGCGAAAGCGUGGGGAGCAAAC
Molecule: ribosomal RNA, 250 nt
Filed under: uncultured prokaryote
Description: partial 16S ribosomal RNA
Rfam family: Bacterial small subunit ribosomal RNA
Source: RNAcentral